UGUGGGAAAUCGGGAACCUGUCGUAAUCAGGGUUGUAGCUACCUGUGCCAUUGUCCCAAUGGAUUUAGGAACUCUGGCGACAGACAAACUCCGUGUGUAGAGAAAGACAAGUGUGUUGAGAUCCCAAAUAUUUGUGGGAAAUGGGGAACCUGUCUUAAUCAGGAGGGUAGCUACCUGUGCCAGUGUCCCAAUGGAUUUAGGAACACUGGCGACGGACAAACUUUGUGUGUAGACAUUGACGAGUGUAAUACAGACGGAGUAUGUGGAAAGGGGGGCAUCUGUCAAAACCUGAAUGGCAGUUACUGGUGCCAGUGUCCUGCUGGAUUUACUAACUUUGGCAAAAACCAAACGAAGUGUGUAGAGCUUAAUUGUGACCAGUA
Molecule: long non-coding RNA, 380 nt
Organism: Salvelinus namaycush (lake trout)
Lineage: Eukaryota; Metazoa; Chordata; Actinopteri; Salmoniformes; Salmonidae
Exons: 4
Source: RefSeq, a predicted model, not a curated record